UGAGAACCCAAAAGAUCGAAUGAGGAGAUUCAUCGUCAAAGUAUUUGGUAUUAGUGCAAUUUAUGAUGUAGUAAAUAAUCCUCGUGGUUAGUAUAUUAUACAUUCUUGUACUAUUUUGCUAGGUACGUCGGCGUGCACUUCUCCUCUAGUAGAACGUCGCGACCCGUUGGAUGUUGAUCUAUGGUCUAAAUGGUUGCCUUUGAUUUUGCUUGCAUUGUCGGAGACCUUUAGUAUCCUGAUCAUCUGUUCGACGGUAUACAUAUGGUGUAAAGUCGCUUGUUAUAUGCGUUAAAUCCGCUGCAAGUGUGGUUAAUAAUUCGGCAGUAUGGAUCUGAUGCCAUCGCUGAUUUUGACUCACUGUUAGCAUGUGGUAUUCUUUAACUGACUUAAUACCGGUCAGCGAUGCUACUGCUUUGGGUACUUUCAGGACCCGUCUUGAAACA
Molecule: ribosomal RNA, 443 nt
Filed under: Wushenia sp. CXX-2005
Lineage: Eukaryota; Metazoa; Arthropoda; Insecta; Hymenoptera; Braconidae
Description: eukaryotic LSU rRNA
Source: RNAcentral